Molecule: ribosomal RNA, 306 nt
Filed under: uncultured Peredibacter sp.
Lineage: Bacteria; Pseudomonadati; Bdellovibrionota; Bacteriovoracia; Bacteriovoracales; Bacteriovoracaceae
Description: bacterial SSU rRNA
Rfam family: Bacterial small subunit ribosomal RNA
Source: RNAcentral
GAGAGGUGCUGCAUGGCUGUCGUCAGCUCGUGUUGUGAAAUGUUGGGUUAAGUCUCGCAACGAGCGCAACCCCUAUCGUCUGUUGUCAGCAUUAAGUUGGGCACUCUGACGAGACUGCCUGGGUUAACCAGGAGGAAGGUGGGGAUGACGUCAAGUCCUCAUGGCCCUUAUGUCUAGGGCUACACGCGUAAUACAAUGGCGCGUACAAAGGGAAGCGAACUCGCAAGGGGGAGCAAAUCCCAAAAAGCGCGUCUCAGUCCGGAUUGGAGUCUGCAACUCGACUCCAUGAAGUUGGAAUCGCUAGUA